RNAcentral lists this ribosomal RNA (415 nucleotides) under uncultured Gammaproteobacteria bacterium. Its description in RNAcentral is "bacterial SSU rRNA". It matches the Rfam family "Bacterial small subunit ribosomal RNA", at positions 9 to 420 of the family's 1533-position model. Lineage: Bacteria; Pseudomonadati; Pseudomonadota; Gammaproteobacteria. The record is from RNAcentral.
GAGUUUGAUCGUGGCUCAGAGUGAACGCUGGCGGCAGGCCUAACACAUGCAAGUCGAACGGCAGCACAGCAGUAGCAAUACUGUGGGUGGCGAGUGGCGGACGGGUGAGGAAUGCAUCGGAAUCUGCCUAUUUGUGGGGGAUAACGUAGGGAAACUUACGCUAAUACCGCAUACGUCCUACGGGAGAAAGUGGGGGACCUUCGGGCCUCACGCAGAUAGAUGAGCCGAUGCCGGAUUAGCUAGUUGGCGGGGUAAAGGCCCACCAAGGCGACGAUCCGUAGCUGGUCUGAGAGGAUGAUCGGCCACACUGGAACUGAGACACGGUCCAGACUCCUACGGGAGGCAGCAGUGGGGAAUAUUGGACAAUGGGCGCAAGCCUGAUCCAGCCAUGCCGCGUGUGUGAGGAAGGGCCUUC